GUGCAGCAGGCGAGAAAACUUCACACUGUGCGAAAGCACGAUGAGGGAAUCCCAAGUGCUUGCACGUAAGUGUAAGCUGUUUCUCUGUCUAAAACGCAGAGAGAGUAAGGGCUGGGUAAGACGGGUGCCAGCCGCCGCGGUAAUACCUGCAGCUCAAGUGGUGACCGUUAUUAUUGGGCCUAAAACGUCCGUAGCCGGUUUAAUAAAUGCCUGGGUAAAUUGUGUAGCUUAACUACACGAAUUCCGGGUAGACUGUUAAACUUGAGACCGGGAGAAGUUAGAGGUACUCCUGGGGUAGAGGUGAAAUUCUGUAAUCCUAGGGGGACCACCAGUGGCGAAGGCGUCUAACUAGAACGGGUCUGACGGUGA
RNAcentral lists this ribosomal RNA (369 nucleotides) under uncultured microorganism. Its description in RNAcentral is "bacterial SSU rRNA". It matches the Rfam family "Archaeal small subunit ribosomal RNA", at positions 330 to 700 of the family's 1478-position model. The record is from RNAcentral.